UACGACGGUGUCUGCUGGUGUCCGACA
RNAcentral lists this non-coding RNA (27 nucleotides) under Mus musculus (house mouse). Lineage: Eukaryota; Metazoa; Chordata; Mammalia; Rodentia; Muridae. The record is from RNAcentral.